This 506-nucleotide ribosomal RNA is filed under the name uncultured bacterium. RNAcentral describes it as "bacterial SSU rRNA". It matches the Rfam family "Bacterial small subunit ribosomal RNA", at positions 28 to 525 of the family's 1533-position model. The record is from RNAcentral.
GACGAACGCUGGCGGCGUGGAUUAGGCAUGCAAGUCGAACGGUAUCAUCCUUUCGGGGGUGAGAGAGUGGCGAACUGGUGAGUAACACGUAGGUUAUCUACCCUCAAGACGGGGACAACCCAGGGAAACUUGGGCUAAUACCGGAUGUGAGCAACUUUUAGUUGUUUGAAAGGUGGCGUAAGCUGUCGCUUGGGGAUGAGCCUGCGUCCUAUUAGUUAGUUGGUGAGGUAACGGCUCACCUAGGCAAUGAUAGGUAGGCGGCCUUAACGGGUGGUCGGCCCACACUGGGAUUGAGAUACGGCCCAGACUCCUACGGGAGGCAGCAGUCGAGAAUAGUCUACAAUGGUCGGAAGACUGAUAGUGCGACGCCGCGUGAACGAUGAAUCCCUUCGGGGUGUAAAGUUCUUUUAUAUGUGAGCAGUGCUUCUUAUAUUAACAGUAUGGGGAGAGAGAUAUUAGCAUAUGAAUAAGCAACGGCUAACUCCGUGCCAGCAGCCGCGGUAAUA